This 507-nucleotide ribosomal RNA is filed under the name uncultured bacterium. Its description in RNAcentral is "bacterial SSU rRNA". It matches the Rfam family "Bacterial small subunit ribosomal RNA", at positions 376 to 896 of the family's 1533-position model. The record is from RNAcentral.
CGAAAGCCUGACGCAGCGACGCCGCGUGGAGGAGGAAGUCCUUCGGGAUGUAAACUCCUUUUGCCAGGGAAGAACACAAUGACGGUACCUGGUGAAUAAGCCCCGGCUAACUACGUGCCAGCAGCCGCGGUAAUACGUAGGGGGCGAGCGUUGUCCGAAGUUACUGGGCGUAAAGCGCGCGUAGCGGGGGAUUAAGUGAGAGGUGAAAGCCCUGGGCUCAACUCAGGAACUGCAUUGGAAACUACCAAGCUGGAGUACGGUAGGGGCAGAGGGAAUUUCCGGUGGAGCGGUGAAAUGCAUUGAGAUCGGAAAGAACACCAACGGCGAAAAGCACUCUGCUGGGCCGACACUGACACUGAGAGACGAAAGCUAGGGGAGCAAAUGGGAUUAGAGACCCCAGUAGUCCUAGCCGUAAACGAUGGAUACUAGGUGCUGUGCGCCUCGACCCGUGCAGUGCUGUAGCUAACGCGUUAAGUAUCCCGCCUGGGGAGUACGUUCGCAAGAAUG